RNAcentral lists this ribosomal RNA (116 nucleotides) under Pteropus vampyrus (large flying fox). The record is from RNAcentral. Lineage: Eukaryota; Metazoa; Chordata; Mammalia; Chiroptera; Pteropodidae.
GUUUGCAGUCCUGCCCCCCUAUCCUCUCGAUUUUGUAUGAUUUUGGAGCCAAGCAGUGUUGAGCCUGGUUAGUACUUGAAUGGGAGACCCCCUAGGUAUGCCAGGUGCUGUAAGCG